UCAGGAUGAACGCUGGCGGCGUGCCUAACACAUGCAAGUCGAGCGAUCUCUUCGGAGAGAGCGGCGGACGGGUGAGUAACGCGUGGGUAACCUGCCCUGUACACACGGAUAACAUACCGAAAGGUAUACUAAUACGGGAUAACAUACGAAAGUCGCAUGGCUUUUGUAUCAAAGCUCCGGCGGUACAGGAUGGACCCGCGUCUGAUUAGCUAGUUGGUAAGGUAAUGGCUUACCAAGGCAACGAUCAGUAGCCGACCUGAGAGGGUGAUCGGCCACACUGGAACUGAGACACGGUCCAGACUCCUACGGGAGGCAGCAGUGGGGAAUAUUGCACAAUGGGCGAAAGCCUGAUGCAGCAACGCCGCGUGAGCGAUGAAGGCCUUCGGGU
RNAcentral lists this ribosomal RNA (388 nucleotides) under Peptostreptococcaceae bacterium DJ-A5. RNAcentral describes it as "bacterial SSU rRNA". It matches the Rfam family "Bacterial small subunit ribosomal RNA", at positions 24 to 423 of the family's 1533-position model. Lineage: Bacteria; Bacillati; Bacillota; Clostridia; Peptostreptococcales; Peptostreptococcaceae. The record is from RNAcentral.